GACAGAGGGUGCAAACGUUGUUCGGAAUUACUGGGCGUAAAGCGUACGCAGACGGUAAGGAAGGUCGGAUGUGAAAGCCCCGGGCUCAACCCUGGAACUGCAUUCGAAACCCCCUUGCUAGAGUAUGGGAGAGGGAAGCGGAAUUCCUGGUGUAGAGGUGAAAUUCGUAGAUAUCAGGAGGAACACCGGCGGCGAAGGCGGCUUCCUGGCCCAUUACUGACGUUCAGGUACGAAAGCGUGGGUAGCAAACAGG
RNAcentral lists this ribosomal RNA (253 nucleotides) under uncultured bacterium. RNAcentral describes it as "partial 16S ribosomal RNA". It matches the Rfam family "Bacterial small subunit ribosomal RNA", at positions 524 to 776 of the family's 1533-position model. The record is from RNAcentral.